This is a long non-coding RNA of Thalassophryne amazonica, 690 nucleotides long. RefSeq lists it as uncharacterized. The transcript has 3 exons. The record is from RefSeq and is a predicted model, not a curated record. NCBI's taxonomy places the organism in Eukaryota, Metazoa, Chordata, Actinopteri, Batrachoidiformes, Batrachoididae.
CCCCAUUGACGUGUCUCCAACACUAACAGGGAUACUGGUGAUGAAGAUGCUGAUGUUCUUCAAAAGUCAGUCACAUGUCUAACAACUGUCCCUUAAGACAGAAGCAGAGACAGCGUCCAUACCAAUGGCCUCAUCUGUUUGGAUCUUCUCCCAGCGUGUCUCCAACAAACCGUCUGGGUUCACCCGUAGCCCUGUCGUUCCAGAUGCAGUCAGCUGCAACUCACCGGAGAAUGAGCGCUUCUGACGAAGCUCCAGAGAUAUCUGACGAGUGACUCGGUGGCUGGAUGCAAACUCAGUGGACGUUACCGAGCUGAAAAGACAAUCCAGUCAUAUGUUUACCCCUGGGGAAGACUGGCUUUUUGAGAUUUUCUUUUUUUUAUUGUGAUUCUGUUUGUACACCUCCAAAGCCCAAAGCGUGCUCAUGUCUACCUGAGCUUUGCCCUGCAGUAAGCGAUCAGGUCAUGUCCAGCAUGGCUGUUCAGAUCCUCGGCUUCUUCCUAGGGCUGCUGGGGUUUGUCGGCACUUUAGUUGCUACUCUGCUCCCCCAGUGGCGCGUUUCGGCCCACGUGGGCUCCAACAUCAUCAUGGCCACCUCAUAUAUGAAAGGCCUGUGGACGGAGUGUGUGUGGCACAGCCCAGGGAUGUGGCAGUGUGAGAGCUACAGAUCUCUGCUGCCACUGCCUCCUGGCA